GCGAAUGGAUUAAGAGCUUGCUCUUAUGAAGUUAGCGGCGGACGGGUGAGUAACACGUGGGUAACCUGCCCAUAAGACUGGGAUAACUCCGGGAAACCGGGGCUAAUACCGGAUAACAUUUUGAACCGCAUGGUUCGAAAUUGAAAGGCGGCUUCGGCUGUCACUUAUGGAUGGACCCGCGUCGCAUUAGCUAGUUGGUGAGGUAACGGCUCACCAAGGCAACGAUGCGUAGCCGACCUGAGAGGGUGAUCGGCCACACUGGGACUGAGACACGGCCCAGACUCCUACGGGAGGCAGCAGUAGGGAAUCUUCCGCAAUGGACGAAAGUCUGACGGAGCAACGCCGCGUGAGUGAUGAAGGCUUUCGGGUCGUAAAACUCUGUUGUUAGGGAAGAACAAGUGCUAGUUGAAUAAGCUGGCACCUUGACGGUACCUAACCAGAAAGCCACGGCUAACUACGUGCCAGCAGCCGCGGUAAUACGUAGGUGGCAAGCGUUAUCCGGAAUUAUUGGGCGUAAAGCGCGCGCAGGUGGUUUCUUAAGUCUGAUGUGAAAGCCCACGGCUCAACCGUGG
Molecule: ribosomal RNA, 572 nt
Filed under: Bacillus sp. HPC339
Lineage: Bacteria; Bacillati; Bacillota; Bacilli; Caryophanales; Bacillaceae
Description: bacterial SSU rRNA
Rfam family: Bacterial small subunit ribosomal RNA
Source: RNAcentral